This 22-nucleotide microRNA is filed under the name Triticum aestivum (bread wheat). RNAcentral describes it as "tae-miR9676-5p". The record is from miRBase by way of RNAcentral. Lineage: Eukaryota; Viridiplantae; Streptophyta; Magnoliopsida; Poales; Poaceae.
UGGAUGUCAUCGUGGCCGUACA